This 454-nucleotide ribosomal RNA is filed under the name uncultured bacterium. RNAcentral describes it as "bacterial SSU rRNA". It matches the Rfam family "Bacterial small subunit ribosomal RNA", at positions 340 to 786 of the family's 1533-position model. The record is from RNAcentral.
UACGGGAGGCAGCAGUGGGGAAUAUUGCACAAUGGGCGCAAGCCUGAUGCAGCCAUGCCGCGUGUAUGAAGAAGGCCUUCGGGUUGUAAAGUACUUUCAGUCGUGAGGAAGGUGUUAAGGUUAAUAACCUUAGCAAUUGACGUUAGCGACAGAAGAAGCACCGGCUAACUCCGUGCCAGCAGCCGCGGUAAUACGGAGGGUGCGAGCGUUAAUCGGAAUUACUGGGCGUAAAGGGCACGCAGGCGGUUAAUUAAGUUGGAUGUGAAAUCCCCGGGCUUAACCUGGGAAUGGCAUUCAAGACUGGUUAGCUAGAGUCUUGUAGAGGGGGUAGAAUUCCAUGUGUAGCGGUGAAAUGCGUAGAGAUGUGGAGGAAUACCGGUGGCGAAGGCGGUCCCCUGGACAAAGACUGACGCUCAUGUGCGAAAGCGUGGGGAGCAAACAGGGAUUAGAUACC